RNAcentral lists this ribosomal RNA (253 nucleotides) under uncultured bacterium. RNAcentral describes it as "partial 16S ribosomal RNA". It matches the Rfam family "Bacterial small subunit ribosomal RNA", at positions 524 to 776 of the family's 1533-position model. The record is from RNAcentral.
UACAGAGGGGGCAAGCGUUGUUCGGAAUUACUGGGCGUAAAGGGCGCGUAGGCGGCCUUCUAAGUCGAACGUGAAAUCCCCGGGCUCAACCCGGGAACUGCGUCCGAUACUGGAAGGCUUGAAUCCGGGAGAGGGAUGUGGAAUUCCAGGUGUAGCGGUGAAAUGCGUAGAUAUCUGGAGGAACACCGGUGGCGAAGGCGAUAUCCUGGACCGGUAUUGACGCUGAGGCGCGAAAGCCAGGGGAGCAAACGGG